RNAcentral lists this ribosomal RNA (1551 nucleotides) under Streptococcus thermophilus. RNAcentral describes it as "bacterial SSU rRNA". It matches the Rfam family "Bacterial small subunit ribosomal RNA". Lineage: Bacteria; Bacillati; Bacillota; Bacilli; Lactobacillales; Streptococcaceae. The record is from RNAcentral.
AUUAAUGAGAGUUUGAUCCUGGCUCAGGACGAACGCUGGCGGCGUGCCUAAUACAUGCAAGUAGAACGCUGAAGAGAGGAGCUUGCUCUUCUUGGAUGAGUUGCGAACGGGUGAGUAACGCGUAGGUAACCUGCCUUGUAGCGGGGAUAACUAUUGGAAACGAUAGCUAAUACCGCAUAACAAUGGAUGACACAUGUCAUUUAUUUGAAAGGGGCAAUUGUUCCACUACAAGAUGGACCUGCGUUGUAUUAGCUAGUAGGUGAGGUAAUGGCUCACCUAGGCGACGAUACAUAGCCGACCUGAGAGGGUGAUCGGCCACACUGGGACUGAGACACGGCCCAGACUCCUACGGGAGGCAGCAGUAGGGAAUCUUCGGCAAUGGGGGCAACCCUGACCGAGCAACGCCGCGUGAGUGAAGAAGGUUUUCGGAUCGUAAAGCUCUGUUGUAAGUCAAGAACGGGUGUGAGAGUGGAAAGUUCACACUGUGACGGUAGCUUACCAGAAAGGGACGGCUAACUACGUGCCAGCAGCCGCGGUAAUACGUAGGUCCCGAGCGUUGUCCGGAUUUAUUGGGCGUAAAGCGAGCGCAGGCGGUUUGAUAAGUCUGAAGUUAAAGGCUGUGGCUCAACCAUAGUUCGCUUUGGAAACUGUCAAACUUGAGUGCAGAAGGGGAGAGUGGAAUUCCAUGUGUAGCGGUGAAAUGCGUAGAUAUAUGGAGGAACACCGGUGGCGAAAGCGGCUCUCUGGUCUGUAACUGACGCUGAGGCUCGAAAGCGUGGGGAGCGAACAGGAUUAGAUACCCUGGUAGUCCACGCCGUAAACGAUGAGUGCUAGGUGUUGGAUCCUUUCCGGGAUCAGUGCCAGUGCCGCAGCUAACGCAUUAAGCACUCCGCCUGGGGAGUACGACCGCAAGGUUGAAACUCAAAGGAAUUGACGGGGGCCCGCACAAGCGGUGGAGCAUGUGGUUUAAUUCGAAGCAACGCGAAGAACCUUACCAGGUCUUGACAUCCCGAUGCUAUUUCUAGAGAUAGAAAGUUACUUCGGUACAUCGGUGACAGGUGGUGCAUGGUUGUCGUCAGCUCGUGUCGUGAGAUGUUGGGUUAAGUCCCGCAACGAGCGCAACCCCUAUUGUUAGUUGCCAUCAUUCAGUUGGGCACUCUAGCGAGACUGCCGGUAAUAAACCGGAGGAAGGUGGGGAUGACGUCAAAUCAUCAUGCCCCUUAUGACCUGGGCUACACACGUGCUACAAUGGUUGGUACAACGAGUUGCGAGUCGGUGACGGCGAGCUAAUCUCUUAAAGCCAAUCUCAGUUCGGAUUGUAGGCUGCAACUCGCCUACAUGAAGUCGGAAUCGCUAGUAAUCGCGGAUCAGCACGCCGCGGUGAAUACGUUCCCGGGCCUUGUACACACCGCCCGUCACACCACGAGAGUUUGUAACACCCGAAGUCGGUGAGGUAACCUUUGGAGCCAGCCGCCUAAGGUGGGACAGAUGAUUGGGGUGAAGUCGUAACAAGGUAGCCGUAUCGGAAGGUGCGGCUGGAUCACCUCCUUU